RNAcentral lists this ribosomal RNA (951 nucleotides) under Triticum aestivum (bread wheat). Its description in RNAcentral is "partial small subunit ribosomal RNA". The record is from RNAcentral. Lineage: Eukaryota; Viridiplantae; Streptophyta; Magnoliopsida; Poales; Poaceae.
AUGGGCCUAAAUGAUAGCCCGGCCCGUUUAAUAUUUCCGGUGUCCCACGGGCCCGAUCCAGCCGCCUGCUUCGACGACUUCUCUUCUUCUUCACAAGGAAGAAAGGAUACAGAGAGAGACAGAGAGAGGGCCACCCACACCCCCAUCCCCAGCCCCAGCCGAGCCGAGGUCUUCCGCCGACGAGCGAAACCAAGCCGCAUCAAGCCCCCACGCGCACCGAUGGACGCGACCGCGGCGGCGGCCGGAGGAGGAGACGGGACGCAGAGGACACUGAAUCCUUAUGUGACUGGUAAUUCGGUGAUUGCAAUGAAAUACAAGGAUGGUGUGAUCAUGGCAUGUGACACUGGAGCCUCCUAUGGGUCAACUUUGCGAUACAAGAGUGUGGAGCGUAUCAAGGAGGUUGGAAAGCAUAGCCUUAUUGGAGGGAGUGGGGAGUUCAGUGAUUUCCAGGAGAUUUUGCGGUAUCUGGAUGAAUUAACUUUGAAUGAUCAUAUGUGGGAUGAUGGCAACUCAUUGGGCCCCAAGGAAAUCCAUGCCUACCUGACAAGAGUAAUGUACAACAGGCGCAAUAAGUUUGACCCUCUAUGGAACUCCCUGGUGCUUGGUGGAGUGAAAAAGGGCCCAAAGGGCGAUGAGAAGUAUCUUGGCAUGGUUAACAUGAUUGGUACACACUUUGAGGAAAACCACAUUGCCACUGGAUUUGGGAACCAUAUGGCAAUCCCAAUACUUCGUGGUGAAUGGCGCGAGGACAUGACUUUUGAAGAAGCUGUUAAGCUGAUUGAGAAGUGCUUGCUGGUCCUGCUGUACCGUGACCGGUCAUCCAUCAACAAAUUCCAGAUUGCCAAGAUCACAACCGAGGGAUCAACCAUCUACCCGCCGUAUGCCCUGAAGACCAACUGGGGGUUUGCCGCCUUUGAGAACCCAUCCAAGGGUGCUGUAGGAACAUGGUAA